CAGGACGAACGCUGGCGGCGUGCCUAAUACAUGCAAGUCGAGCGGACCGACGGGAGCUUGCUCCCUUAGGUCAGCGGCGGACGGGUGAGUAACACGUGGGUAACCUGCCUGUAAGACUGGGAUAACUCCGGGAAACCGGGGCUAAUACCGGAUGCUUGAUUGAACCGCAUGGUUCAAUCAUAAAAGGUGGCUUUUAGCUACCACUUACAGAUGGACCCGCGGCGCAUUAGCUAGUUGGUGAGGUAACGGCUCACCAAGGCGACGAUGCGUAGCCGACCUGAGAGGGUGAUCGGCCACACUGGGACUGAGACACGGCCCAGACUCCUACGGGAGGCAGCAGUAGGGAAUCUUCCGCAAUGGACGAAAGUCUGACGGAGCAACGCCGCGUGAGUGAUGAAGGUUUUCGGAUCGUAAAACUCUGUUGUUAGGGAAGAACAAGUACCGUUCGAAUAGGGCGGUACCUUGACGGUACCUAACCAGAAAGCCACGGCUAACUACGUGCCAGCAGCCGCGGUAAUACGUAGGUGGCAAGCGUUGUCCGGAAUUAUUGGGCGUAAAGCGCGCGCAGGCGGUUUCUUAAGUCUGAUGUGAAAGCCCCCGGCUCAACCGGGGAGGGUCAUUGGAAACUGGGGAACUUGAGUGCAGAAGAGGAGAGUGGAAUUCCACGUGUAGCGGUGAAAUGCGUAGAGAUGUGGAGGAACACCAGUGGCGAAGGCGACUCUCUGGUCUGUAACUGACGCUGAGGCGCGAAAGCGUGGGGAGCGAACAGGAUUAGAUACCCUGGUAGUCCACGCCGUAAACGAUGAGUGCUAAGUGUUAGAGGGUUUCCGCCCUUUAGUGCUGCAGCAAACGCAUUAAGCACUCCGCCUGGGGAGUACGGUCGCAAGACUGAAACUCAAAGGAAUUGACGGGGGCCCGCACAAGCGGUGGAGCAUGUGGUUUAAUUCGAAGCAACGCGAAGAACCUUACCAGGUCUUGACAUCCUCUGACAACCCUAGAGAUAGGGCUUCCCCUUCGGGGGCAGAGUGACAGGUGGUGCAUGGUUGUCGUCAGCUCGUGUCGUGAGAUGUUGGGUUAAGUCCCGCAACGAGCGCAACCCUUGAUCUUAGUUGCCAGCAUUCAGUUGGGCACUCUAAGGUGACUGCCGGUGACAAACCGGAGGAAGGUGGGGAUGACGUCAAAUCAUCAUGCCCCUUAUGACCUGGGCUACACACGUGCUACAAUGGGCAGAACAAAGGGCAGCGAAGCCGCGAGGCUAAGCCAAUCCCACAAAUCUGUUCUCAGUUCGGAUCGCAGUCUGCAACUCGACUGCGUGAAGCUGGAAUCGCUAGUAAUCGCGGAUCAGCAUGCGCGGNUGAAUACGUUCCCGGGGCCUUGUACACACCGCCCGUCACACCACGAGAGUUUGUAACACCCGAAGUCGGUGAGGUAACCUUUUGGAGCCAGCC
Molecule: ribosomal RNA, 1448 nt
Filed under: Bacillus licheniformis
Lineage: Bacteria; Bacillati; Bacillota; Bacilli; Caryophanales; Bacillaceae
Description: bacterial SSU rRNA
Rfam family: Bacterial small subunit ribosomal RNA
Source: RNAcentral